AGUGAACGCUGGCGGUAGGCCUAACACAUGCAAGUCGAACGGCAGCACAGUAAGAGCUUGCUCUUACGGGUGGCGAGUGGCGGACGGGUGAGGAAUACAUCGUAAUCUACUUUUUCGUGGGGGAUAACGUAGGGAAACUUACGCUAAUACCGCAUACGACCUACGGGUGAAAGCAGGGGAUCUUCGGACCUUGCGCGAUUGAAUGAGCCGCUGUCGGAUUAGCUAGUUGGCGGGGUAAAGGCCCACCAAGGCGACGAUCCGUAGCUGGUCUGAGAGGAUGAUCGGCCACACUGGAACUGAGACACGGUCCAGACGCCUACGGGAGGGAGCAGUGGGGAAUAGUGGACAAUGGGCGCAAGCCUGAUCCAGCCAUACCGAGUGUGUGAAGAAGGCCUUCGGGUUGUAAAGACCUUUUGUUGGGAAAGAAAAGCAGCAGGUUAAUACCACGCUGUUCUGACGGUACCCAAAGAAUAAGCACCGGCUAACUUCGUG
This 492-nucleotide ribosomal RNA is filed under the name uncultured bacterium. RNAcentral describes it as "partial 16S ribosomal RNA". It matches the Rfam family "Bacterial small subunit ribosomal RNA", at positions 29 to 507 of the family's 1533-position model. The record is from RNAcentral.